Molecule: small RNA, 34 nt
Filed under: Arabidopsis thaliana (thale cress)
Lineage: Eukaryota; Viridiplantae; Streptophyta; Magnoliopsida; Brassicales; Brassicaceae
Description: ATSL180510
Source: RNAcentral
GACAAAAAUCAGGAUUGUAGGACUUUGCAAAAUA